Molecule: ribosomal RNA, 510 nt
Filed under: uncultured bacterium
Lineage: Bacteria
Description: partial 16S ribosomal RNA
Rfam family: Bacterial small subunit ribosomal RNA
Source: RNAcentral
GACGAACGCUGGCGGCGUGCUUAACACAUGCAAGUCGAACGAAGAGCGAUGGAAGCUUGCUUCUCUCAAUCUUAGUGGCGAACGGGUGAGUAACGCGUAAUCAACCUGCCCUUCAGAGGGGGACAACAGUUGGAAACGACUGCUAAUACCGCAUACGAUCUAAUCUCGGCAUCGAGGAUAGAUGAAAGGUGGCCUCUACAUGUAAGCUAUCACUGAAGGAGGGGAAUGCGUCUGAUUAGCUAGGUGGAGGGGUAACGGCCCACCAAGGCGAUGAUCAGUAGCCGGUCUGAGAGGAUGAACGGCCACAUUGGGACUGAGACACGGCCCAGACUCCUACGGGAGGCAGCAGUGGGGAAUCUUCCGCAAUGGACGAAAGUCUGACGGAGCAACGCCGCGUGAGUGAUGACGGCCUUCGGGUUGUAAAGCUCUGUUAAUCGGGACGAAAGGCCUUCUUGCGAAUAGUGAGAAGGAUUGACGGUACCGGAAUAGAAAGCCACGGCUAACUACGUG